GACGAACGCUGGCGGCGUGCUUAACACAUGCAAGUCGAACGAUGAAGCUGGAGCUUGCCCUGGCGGAUUAGUGGCGAACGGGUGAGUAACACGUGAGAAAUCUGCCCUUGACUCUGGGAUAACUGCGGGAAACUGUAGCUAAUACCGGAUACUUUCCCUGGUGGGCAUCCACUGGGGAAGAAAGAAUUUCGGUCAAGGAUGAUCUCGCGGCCUAUCAGCUUGUUGGUGAGGUAAUGGCUCACCAAGGCGACGACGGGUAGCCGGCCUGAGAGGGUGACCGGCCACACUGGGACUGAGACACGGCCCAGACUCCUACGGGAGGCAGCAGUGGGGAAUAUUGCACAAUGGGCACAAGCCUGAUGCAGCAACGCCGCGUGAGGGAUGAAGGCCUUCGGGUUGUAAACCUCUUUUAGCAGGGAAGAAGCGAAAGUGACGGUACCUGCAGAAAAAGCACCGGCUAACUACGUGCCAGCAGCCGCGGUAA
Molecule: ribosomal RNA, 484 nt
Filed under: uncultured bacterium
Lineage: Bacteria
Description: partial 16S ribosomal RNA
Rfam family: Bacterial small subunit ribosomal RNA
Source: RNAcentral